RNAcentral lists this unclassified non-coding RNA (332 nucleotides) under uncultured bacterium. Its description in RNAcentral is "partial 16S-23S ribosomal RNA intergenic spacer". The record is from RNAcentral.
AUUUGGUUGUCAACCUCCGUUGACACCAAUAGGUUGAGCAAGCUUGUUUUUCUCUUGCAACAUCACUUCCCUUCUCUUGUCUAAAUUGAAAAGAGAUAAGUGUGGAAACACUUUUUGUUAUCUUGAUUAAUUCGAAUAAGUUUUUUCAAUAAAGUAAGUAUCAAUAUAAUUUUUUUUGAGAAUUGUUACUCGAAAGAGUAACAGCAUCUCAAGCGCAAUUUUCACUGAUGUAAAUUAGCGCUUGAGGAUAAUCAUUAAUAUCAAUUUUACGGCGAAAUAGCAGCUUUCAAAUUUUGAUCAAGUUGCUAAGGGCUGUUGGUGGAUGCCUUGGC